AUGAACGCUGGCGGCGUGCCUAAUACAUGCAAGUCGAGCGAACGGACGAGAAGCUUGCUUCUCUGAUGUUAGCGGCGGACGGGUGAGUAACACGUGGAUAACCUACCUAUAAGACUGGGAUAACUUCGGGAAACCGUAGCUAAUACCGGAUAAUAUUUUGAACCGCCUGGUUCAAAAGUGAAAGACGGUCUUGCUGUCACUUAUAGAUGGAUCCGCGCUGCAUUAGCUAGUUGGUAAGGUAACGGCUUACCAAGGCAACGAUGCAUAGCCGACCUGAGAGGGUGAUCGGCCACACUGGAACUGAGACACGGUCCAGACUCCUACGGGAGGCAGCAGUAGGGAAUCUUCCGAAAUGGGCGAAAGCCUGACGGAGCAACGCCGCGUGAGUGAUGAAGGUCUUCGGAUCGUAAAACUCUGUUAUUAGGGAAGAACAUAUGUGUAAGUAACUGUGCACAUCUUGACGGUACCUAAUCAGAAAGCCACGGCUAACUACGUG
Molecule: ribosomal RNA, 496 nt
Filed under: uncultured bacterium
Lineage: Bacteria
Description: partial 16S ribosomal RNA
Rfam family: Bacterial small subunit ribosomal RNA
Source: RNAcentral